RNAcentral lists this long non-coding RNA (821 nucleotides) under Homo sapiens (human). Its description in RNAcentral is "non-protein coding lnc-TLDC2-5:1". Lineage: Eukaryota; Metazoa; Chordata; Mammalia; Primates; Hominidae. The record is from RNAcentral.
AACGCUCCUGCCAGCUCCGCUCCUCUAGUCCAAGUCCUUUAGGUCCUGUCUGGCCACGUCACCACCUCCCCGCAACACCCCGCCCGGGAGUCCCUUUCCGGGACCCGCCACACUAUCGUGUCCUUUUGCGCCCGACGGCCCCAGAGCCCAUCUAAGAUGGGGGAAACAGAGGCCCGGAGAGAUUCUUGCCGGAGGAAUACAGCGCCUCAAAGGGCAUCUGAUGCCCUGUCCCCGUCGCUAGGCUCUGGUUCCCACUCCCUUUAUCUCCUUAACUCCCAAAAUGUGGACCGUGACUCUCCCCAGGGUGGACUGGAGCUCUGAGCUCAGUUUGCCUCACAGUCUAUCCCACUCCUGCUCUAGGACUUUUUCUCUCUCAUUUCCAGGCCACUCCCUCAAACGGCUUGCUUUACUUGCUUGGUGGGUGGGGGCCUGCCCUCGGGUUUCAUUUCACCCGGGAGGAGGUCGCAGCGCCCCCAAGUGGUCGCAGUGUCCUUAGUCGGGGUCGGGGGGUGCGGCAGGUCGGGCUGGUCCUUAGGGGUAGGACGGGGACAGGGCAUCAGAUGCCCUUUGAGGCGCUAUAUUCCCAGGCGCUGUUCCCUCUGCCUGGGAAGGCUUUCCCUGCUUUUCCUAGCUACAUCCUCCAAUUUUUUUGUAUUUUGAGACGGAGUCUCGCUCUGUCGCCCAGGCUAGAGUGCAGUGGCGCGAUCUCGGCUCCCGGCAACCUCCGCCUCCCGGGUUCGGGUUCAAGCGAUUCUCCUGCCUCAGCCUCCCGAGUAGCUGGGAUUACAGGCGCCCACCACCACGCCUGGCUAAUUUUUGUA